This is a long non-coding RNA of Struthio camelus australis, 815 nucleotides long. The record is from Ensembl. NCBI's taxonomy places the organism in Eukaryota, Metazoa, Chordata, Aves, Struthioniformes, Struthionidae.
GGAAAACCACAGCCAGCACAGCAACCGCCCGCAGCCCGCCCAGCUGCUGGCACUCAGUUACGGAGCUGGUGUUAGCUCCAGGUGUAGCUAAAGCCUGAGAUUAUGCCGUUACGCAGCAAAGGGUGCUGUGAAACACGGUGGAGCAGAAGGACUUAAAAGGAGCUGGUGCAAGGCAGGAAAGAGCCUGGGAAAGUGAGGAUGUGGGGCUGGUGGCUUGGUGCAGUUCCAACCACAAUCAGUGCAUAAACCUACCUACAACCCAGGAUGUUGGAAAAUUACCGAGAAACAGCCCCAUCCUCCCAGCUGCUUGGUGAGAAGGGAAGGAUGCACCUUCAGUUCAAAUACUGGGCUUGGUGACCCACCUUCCAGGAUCCCCAAUGCUGUGUCCAGUGUGCCUCCCAGUCCCUACAGACCACUAGGCGACAUUCAUGACUUUAGCAGGAACCAGCAGCAACAUACAGGCACAAAGGUGGGCCAAGUGACCAGGCACAGACAGCCAGAAGCCCAGAAGCAAAUGGAGAUGGAGACCAGUGUCGCAAUGGGCAGCAAAAAGAAAACAAGGAGAUGUACUGUAAAAAAUGCCACAGGCCUGAUCAUGCAGGACCACGCUCAGCCACCCAGACCUUGGUAGGAGUACCUGGCCCGUGGCUGCUGAGCACCUUGGGCACCGAGGUCCACUUUUGCCACGGAGACUUCCCCACCAGCUCCAAGCCAUGAGGAAAAGAGAGAGGAGAGAAAAGCUGCCGAAGAAACACUAACCCACAUCCUCCCGGCCCCCACCCCAUGCCCCACUUCCAGUAGACCAGGGAACCCCU